CCAGAGUCUCCUGACUCCCCUCAACCUGCAAAUCGACCCCAGCAUCCAGAGGGUGAGGACCGAGGAGCGCGAGCAGAUCAAGACCCUCAACAAUAAGUUUGCCUCCUUCAUCGACAAGGUGCGGUUCCUGGAGCAGCAGAACAAGGUUCUGGACACCAAGUGGACCCUGCUGCAGGAGCAGGGCACCAAGACUGUGAGGCAGAACCUGGAGCCGUUGUUCGAGCAGUACAUCAACAACCUCAGGAGGCAGCUGGACAGCAUCGUGGGGGAACGGGGCCGCCUGGACUCAGAGCUGAGAAACAUGCAGGACCUGGUGGAAGACUUCAAGAACAAGUAUGAGGAUGAAAUCAACAAGCGUACCACUGCUGAGAAUGAGUUUGUGAUGCUGAAGAAGGAUGUAGAUGCUGCCUACAUGAACAAGGUGGAGCUGGAGGCCAAGGUUGAUGCACUGAUGGAUGAGAUUAACUUCAUGAAGAUGUUCUUUGAUGCGGAGCUGUCCCAGAUGCAGACGCAUGUCUCUGACACCUCAGUGGUCCUCUCCAUGGACAACAACCGCAACCUGGACCUGGAUAGCAUCAUCGCUGAGGUCAAGGCCCAGUAUGAGGAGAUUGCCAACCGCAGCCGGACAGAAGCCGAGUCCUGGUAUCAGACCAAGUAUGAGGAGCUGCAGCAGACAGCUGGCCGGCAUGGCGAUGACCUCCGCAACACCAAGCAUGAGAUCUCUGAGAUGAACCGGAUGAUCCAGAGGCUGAGAGCCGAGAUUGACAAUGUCAAGAAACAGUGCGCCAAUCUGCAGAACGCCAUUGCGGAUGCCGAGCAGCGUGGGGAGCUGGCCCUCAAGGAUGCCAGGAACAAGCUGGCCGAGCUGGAGGAGGCCCUGCAGAAGGCCAAGCAGGACAUGGCCCGGCUGCUGCGUGAGUACCAGGAGCUCAUGAACACCAAGCUGGCCCUGGACGUGGAGAUCGCCACUUACCGCAAGCUGCUGGAGGGCGAGGAAUGCAGGUGAUGGAGAAGGAGUUGGACCAGUCAACAUCUCUGUUGUCACAAGCAGUGUUUCCUCUGGAUAUGGCAGUGGCAGUGGCUAUGGCGGUGGCCUCGGUGGAGGUCUUGGCGGCGGCCUCGGUGGAGGUCUUGCCGGAGGUAGCAGUGGAAGCUACUACUCCAGCAGCAGUGGGGGUGUCGGCCUAGGUGGUGGGCUCAGUGUGGGGGGCUCUGGCUUCAGUGCAAGCAGUGGCCGAGGGCUGGGGGUGGGCUUUGGCAGUGGCGGGGGUAGCAGCUCCAGCGUCAAAUUUGUCUCCACCACCUCCUCCUCCCGGAAGAGCUUCAAGAGCUAAGAACCUGCUGCAAGUCACUGCCUUCCAAGUGCAGCAACCCAGCCCAUGGAGAUUGCCUCUUCUAGGCAGUUGCUCAAGCCAUGUUUUAUCCUUUUCUGGAGAGUAGUCUAGACCAAGCCAAUUGCAGAACCACAUUCUUUGGUUCCCAGGAGAGCCCCAUUCCCAGCCCCUGGUCUCCCGUGCCGCAGUUCUAUAUUCUGCUUCAAAUCAGCCUUCAGGUUUCCCACAGCAUGGCCCCUGCUGACACGAGAACCCAAAGUUUUCCCAAAUCUAAAUCAUCAAAACAGAAUCCCCACCCCAAUCCCAAAUUUUGUUUUGGUUCUAACUACCUCCAGAAUGUGUUCAAUAAAAUGCUUUUAUAAUAU
RNAcentral lists this long non-coding RNA (1699 nucleotides) under Homo sapiens (human). RNAcentral describes it as "long non-coding RNA NONHSAT163558.1". Lineage: Eukaryota; Metazoa; Chordata; Mammalia; Primates; Hominidae. The record is from RNAcentral.